UUCUACUUCUCAUAUCUCCAGCAAGGUGCUAUGCUAGGGAACAAUAUUCUUUCGUCUCCAAGCUAGCUCUACCCAUUCCACCUCCGACUCAUUGUUCUAGCCCUUGGAACCGUGGUACUCCUUAGUUGUGGGUUUGUUGCGUUUUGUUAGCGUCUAAGCAAGAUGAGAGAAACGUUCAAGGUGGGUCUGGUGGUAGCAACGGUGCAGCUUAGAGUAUCCUGUUCUUGGUGGUUCUUAGGAGCAGUUUCACGGUCAUGGGGCCUUUUUGUAAUAGUUGUCUUAGUGACAACUCCUUUUGCAAACUCUUUUACUGUCAAUUUCUAUGUUAAGUCCCUGGCAUUAUGUUAGAUAUGCCCUAGUACAUUCUAGUACCUUUAUGGAUGAUUGUAAAAGUACAUUGUUUGAUUAUGAUGUUCAUCUGAUAAC
This is a long non-coding RNA of Vigna unguiculata (cowpea), 426 nucleotides long. RefSeq lists it as uncharacterized. The record is from RefSeq and is a predicted model, not a curated record. NCBI's taxonomy places the organism in Eukaryota, Viridiplantae, Streptophyta, Magnoliopsida, Fabales, Fabaceae.